Capsicum annuum is the source of this 2623-nucleotide long non-coding RNA. RefSeq lists it as uncharacterized. The transcript is spliced from 3 exons. The record is from RefSeq and is a predicted model, not a curated record. NCBI's taxonomy places the organism in Eukaryota, Viridiplantae, Streptophyta, Magnoliopsida, Solanales, Solanaceae.
AAGAAAGUUUUAAUAAUUUACACUAAAAAAUACACAUACACACAAAACACACACCAACAGACGUACAUAUCACUUUCCCUCUCCUUUCUCUCUUUCUCUCUCCCAAACUCACCGCCGCCGGUACCAAUGGCUCGCCGGAGGUAGUGACCGGCGAGUUCCAAUCAGCCGAGUUCCCUUUCCCUUCUCCCUUUUACCCUACUGCUGCUCGACGCCGGUAAAAUAUAAGCGACGCACAAAUCAGCCGGUGAACUCCAUCACUGCUCCGGCCAGAUCUGGACGAAAUGAUCCAAGAUCCGAGCUCCGACACACCACACCGAUGCUGUCCACCAAAAAUAGCCCAGAUCUGGUCGUGUUUUAUUUUUCCGGCGAUUGCCGUUGAAGCAACGCCGGUGACCCAUUCCCUAUUGGUCUCUAUUUUUAUUUGAUUUCAUAUUUGGCAGCAGCCAUGGCCAUGAUACCAAAAAAAGAGCUCAAAUUUGGGUGAGUCCCCACUAACGCCGGCGACCCCUCGACUCGUUAAUGUCUUUUUCAUAUAAGUUUGGACAUAUUUUUGUGUUCUCAUAUGUUUUUUUUUUAUGAUUUGCUAGACUGUUUUGAUUCUGAUGAUUUGGUAUAAUUUUGCCGGAUAAUAUUACUCACUGGAUUGCUGCUUGCUUAUGUUGCUCUGAUAAAAAAAUCAGGUAUGACAAUGCUUAUCAAUUCAGCAAGAGAGAUGACAGAGAGAUCUUUAGACUCUUCUAAAGUGGAGAUUUUGGACUCAAAUCUUUCAGGAAAAGUCACCAAAAUUUUUCAACUAUUUUAUUGUCUUUAAAAUCUUUGCCAAACAAUCUGAUUAUAUUGACAAUAAAAGAAAUUCUAUCAGAAUACUUAAUAAUUGUCUCACCUUCUUGCAUCCUAAGAGAUUCAAAAUCUUUUUUUUAAAUUCAGAGUUUGAUUUUGUCUACCUCGUUUACUUCCUUGGUGCUCCUUUUCAAACUUUUCUUAAGCUUCUUUUGUUGUUUCGCAUGCAAUGAUUUUUGAAAAAAUUGAAUCAACAACUGAAUUUUGAAUUACAAUUUUUUCUUUAUAUUUUUUUUUAUUUCUCUUUUGAGUAAAGUUUGAUUUCGGCAGCAGAAGAUUUAGCUGUGAGUGGUUGUAUAGGUUUCUCUUUCUUUACAACUUCCGACAAAUCAUAAGCUUCAAAUUAAAAUUUUAUCUUAACUGCCCAAAUUUGAUAAUUUUCACCAGUGAAGUUUGUGGAGAAAAUUGAAGGAGAGAUGUCUUUUAAGUCUUGAAUGAAGGAUUGGUGACAUUGACCAACUUAAAGGGUCAAACAUUAUUAGAAAACUUGAUUAAGUUAAUUGUGAACUUGAUUAAUAUUUUCAAAACUUUCUAAUCUUUUAAAAAAUACAAAUCAACCUAACCCACACCCCUUUUCAAUCCAAAUCAACCAGUCUCUCUUCUCUUUCUCGAUAGUUUCUCUCAACUCUCUCUCAACCAACAGUUUUGCAAAUUUCUCCUUUCAAUCCUCCGCAACUUCAACAUCUGACAACAAAUAGUUGGGAUUCGAGUUCCUUUUCGACUUCAACCUUCAAUCGAUGUGACAGCCUUACUCUCUGGCCACAACAGCUUCGAAUUCUUCAACCUUCAAUCGACGUGACAGCCUUGCUCUCCGGCCACAACAGCUUCGAAUUCAUCAUCGUUCCUUUUCUUCUUUCACAGAUUAUCCUUCUGGUGCAACAUAUAACCAUCCGAUGCAACAGAUUUGUCAGAUGAUGCAAUAGAUCAACCAUCUGAUGCACUAGAGGAACCAUCAGAUUAUAAUUUUGAUGCAACAGAUUUAACAUAUGAUGCAAUAGUUAAACUAUUUGAUUCAACAUAUUAACCAUAUGUUGCAACAGAUUAAGAAUUGGAUAAAAAAUCUGAUGCAACUAAUUAACCAUCUGAUGCAACGGAAGAACCAUCAAAUUAAUGUUCUGAUGCAACAGAUGCACCUCUUGUUGGAUAAAAUCAUAUCAACUCUUCCAACAGGACAUGUCCAAGACAUGAUUUUUUCAACUGAUCAUUCAUCUGCCGCGAUAGACGACCCUAUGUUGGAAGAAAUCUAAACAAUAUUGACCGUUGAUAAUUGUUCCAACAGAUCACUCAUGUGUUGCAACAGAAGUAUGACCUAUUACACUGACUAUUCAUCUUUCUCAAUGGAUGAGUGAUAUGUUUUGUAUUGUCACAACAGAUUACUUAGUCGUUGUUGGAGGUUAGUUAACUGUUCCAACUUAUCACUCAUAUGUUGCAAUAGAUGUGUGAUCUGCUGCAUAAACCAUUCAUUUUUCUCAACAGAUGAGUGAUAUAUUUUGUAUUAUUGCAACAGAUUACUCAUCCGUUGCAAUAUGUUAUUUAACUGUUCCAACUGAUCACUCAUGUUGCAAUAAUGUGUGAUCUGUUGCACAGACCAUUCAUCUAUCUUAAAAGAUGAGUGAUACAUUUUGUAUUGUUGCAACAGAUUGCUCACCUGCUGCAACAGGUUUGUUAUAUACUGCAACAGAUAUACUACCUGUGCAACAGAUAAGUAACUUGUUGGAACUGUUAUUUUACUGUUUUGCUUGUUAGAUUUACUAUUAUCCUUUUUUAACGAUACAUUAAUCAA